AAAAUUAAUCAAAACAGCUAGACUUAUUUGUUAAUUACUCACUGCAUGCUAUGGUCAUUUUUGUGACAGCUGAAUAUGCAAAGGUUCCAAUAGCAGUGCCCAUUAUGAAGCCAAUUAGUAAUGAAGAGGAACAACAUUACAUUAAUGGAGCAAAGUUUGCAUCCGCAGGAGCUGGCUCUCUUCUACAGACAUUCCAAGGCGCAGUGAUUGAUUUGAAGACGCAAUUGAAUAAGGUGAAAAUUUUGUUGAGAAACAAGUUUGGCUUUACUAAAUCGGACAAAAUAUUGAGCAGUACUUGCUGUUUACUCGAUAAGUAUUGGGACCAAUGACUACUUAAGUCCCUUUUGACCAAUUCAACACUCGUAGCUUCCUAUUCUCCUCACCAGUAGUACGUACAAAUGGUCAUUGGCAUCUUGACCGCUGUGGUCCAAGAGAUAUACAAGAACGGAGGAAGGAGCGUGUUGUGGAACAGGAAUAUAUAGCUGUGGAGGAAAGAGAGCAGUUAAGCAAUUUGAGGUUUGCAAAAGCCCAAAAGGACAUGUCUUUUGGGAUUCUUUAACUGUUACCAGCAAAUGGCUGAUGAAAUGUGGAAUGGGCCCACGGGCUCUUCUACUCUCAACACUCCCUUUCAAUGCCUUUAAAGAGCAAACUACAAAUUCUGUUGGCAAAGUAUGCAUUAGUAUUAUUAUUAUUAGUAUCUUCUUGAUUCUAGGAAAUGUCAAUUCAUAAUUUUCAGUCGAUUUUAUGCUUUUGUAAAGAUAAUUGUUCCCUCUAUUUCUUUU
This is a long non-coding RNA of Solanum pennellii, 782 nucleotides long. RefSeq lists it as uncharacterized. The transcript is spliced from 3 exons. NCBI's taxonomy places the organism in Eukaryota, Viridiplantae, Streptophyta, Magnoliopsida, Solanales, Solanaceae. The record is from RefSeq and is a predicted model, not a curated record.